AUUGAACGCUGGCGGCAGGCUUAACACAUGCAAGUCGAGCGGGGUGAUGGUGCUUGCACUAUCACUUAGCGGCGGACGGGUGAGUAAUGCUUAGGAAUCUGCCUAUUAGUGGGGGACAACAUCUCGAAAGGGAUGCUAAUACCGCAUACGUCCUACGGGAGAAAGCAGUGGAUCACUUGUGACCUUGCGCUAAUAGAUGAGCCUAAGUCGGAUUAGCUAGUUGGUGGGGAAAAGGCCUACCAAGGCGACGAUCUGUAGCGGGUCUGAGAGGAUGACCCGCCACACUGCGACUGGGACACGGCCCAGAUUCCGACGGGAGGCAGGAGUGGGGAAUAUUGGACAAUGGGGGGACCCCUGAUCCAGCCAUGCCGCGUGUGUGAAGAAGGCCUUAUGGUUGUAAAGCACGUUAAGCGAGGAGGAGGCUCUUUUGGUUAAUACCCAAGAUGAGUGGACGUUACUCGCAGCGUAAGCACCGGCUAACUCUCUGCCAGCCGCCGCCGUAA
RNAcentral lists this ribosomal RNA (503 nucleotides) under uncultured bacterium. Its description in RNAcentral is "partial 16S ribosomal RNA". It matches the Rfam family "Bacterial small subunit ribosomal RNA", at positions 30 to 523 of the family's 1533-position model. The record is from RNAcentral.